Molecule: long non-coding RNA, 282 nt
Filed under: Homo sapiens (human)
Lineage: Eukaryota; Metazoa; Chordata; Mammalia; Primates; Hominidae
Description: non-protein coding lnc-PRKD1-4:2
Source: RNAcentral
GGUCUAGUCACUCUCCAUUAUUACGCUAAGCAAAGAUUACCUUUGUUCUGUGUCUCAAUUACAGAGCACGAAGAAGAGAAAACAGAAAACAUCCAUUGAAUCCUCUGCCUCUGGUAAUGUAUGGCUCCCAGUAUGCCUCCUUCAAGAGCAUGACUGACCCAAUUACUAGUAUGAGCAAAAGGAAGAAACCCCCAAUUGAACUGAUGAAAAACAUAAACAGUGGCAAUGAAUUAUAACCCAGUUAAAACUGGAUCUGAAAGCUGAAUAAAAGACAUGCAAAAG